ACAUGCAAGUCGAACGAACUCUGGUAUUGAUUGGUGCUUGCAUCAUGAUUUACAUUUGAGUGAGUGGCGAACUGGUGAGUAACACGUGGGAAACCUGCCCAGAAGCGGGGGAUAACACCUGGAAACAGAUGCUAAUACCGCAUAACAACUUGGACCGCAUGGUCCGAGUUUGAAAGAUGGCUUCGGCUAUCACUUUUGGAUGGUCCCGCGGCGUAUUAGCUAGAUGGUGGGGUAACGGCUCACCAUGGCAAUGAUACGUAGCCGACCUGAGAGGGUAAUCGGCCACAUUGGGACUGAGACACGGCCCAAACUCCUACGGGAGGCAGCAGUAGGGAAUCUUCCACAAUGGACGAAAGUCUGAUGGAGCAACGCCGCGUGAGUGAAGAAGGGUUUCGGCUCGUAAAACUCUGUUGUUAAAGAAGAACAUAUCUGAGAGUAACUGUUCAGGUAUUGACGGUAUUUAACCAGAAAGCCACGGCUAACUACGUGCCAGCAGCCGCGGUAAUACGUAGGUGGCAAGCGUUGUCCGGAUUUAUUGGGCGUAAAGCGAGCGCAGGCGGUUUUUUAAGUCUGAUGUGAAAGCCUUCGGCUCAACCGAAGAAGUGCAUCGGAAACUGGGAAACUUGAGUGCAGAAGAGGACAGUGGAACUCCAUGUGUAGCGGUGAAAUGCGUAGAUAUAUGGAAGAACACCAGUGGCGAAGGCGGCUGUCUGGUCUGUAACUGACGCUGAGGCUCGAAAG
This 741-nucleotide ribosomal RNA is filed under the name Lactiplantibacillus plantarum. RNAcentral describes it as "bacterial SSU rRNA". It matches the Rfam family "Bacterial small subunit ribosomal RNA", at positions 53 to 759 of the family's 1533-position model. The record is from RNAcentral. Lineage: Bacteria; Bacillati; Bacillota; Bacilli; Lactobacillales; Lactobacillaceae.